RNAcentral lists this long non-coding RNA (5258 nucleotides) under Eucalyptus grandis. Its description in RNAcentral is "long non-coding RNA (EGRA_LNC001169)". Lineage: Eukaryota; Viridiplantae; Streptophyta; Magnoliopsida; Myrtales; Myrtaceae. The record is from RNAcentral.
CAUCUGUUUGUUCUUCUUCUUGCUCUUUCUUAUAGAGCUCUAGAGUAAUGAAGAAGAUCAAAAAGGAAGCACUAAAGAAAGAUCUCUGAUUGAAGAUUUAGAGAGCAGAUUCUGAUCAAAGGGAUUACAGUACUAUUGAGUUCAUCAAAUUCACUCUACGUCUCUGUACAUUUUCCUCAGCCCUUUUAUACUUCAACUAUUACUUCUCGAACUACCUUUACAACAGACUUUAACAACUUUUAUUAACAGAACAAUUAAUCCUAGCCAUUCGUGUAGCUUCUUCAGUGACUUGAUCUUCCUGGUUUAAUCUGUUGUAUAACCAGACUCUUCACAGGGAUUGCCAACUCAGCUUGGAUCAAGGAUUGCCAGCUCAGUCUUCAGUUUACCCUUCCGAGCUUGCUCUGUUUUUGUCAGGUUAGCUUCUCUUCCUUUAUCAGCUUCUCUGUUCUGACUUUGUUUCUUAACAUAGCGGUACCGCGAAAUGGUCGGCCAUCUCGCACAACCUCUUAGUCACAUCGACUGAGAGGUCCUCAACAUGGCAGUCGACAGCAAAGCGAAGCCACGGACUGAGCUUAGGCGCACAACGGUCGAGAAAAUCGAUGUCGAUGUGGAACUUCCUCACCUUAGGCAACGCCUAGAGGAUCAAGACGCUGUCCAUGGACGGGGAGCGUUCCACCAGGGGAAGGAGAAGACGAGGUCCGGGGCGGCGGUCCAGAGGAAUCGCCAUAGCUUCGACAAAAACGCACGUGCGGACAAUGUGUGCGAGGUCGAGGAACGAGAAGAUGUGGUGGAUCACCGAGUCGGGGCAAGCUGGCUGAUGCUAUCGGCAUCGUCGCCUAGGGUUUCGCACCGACAAGAGGAGGAGGUAGGCGACUGCUUCUUCUUCGCCAUGUGGGGAUCGACGAUUGAACGGAGGAAAUGGGAGGGGAGCCUCCUCCGAUUUCAGGGUUCAUUUCACUCGGACUUAAGUUUCUGGCUUCCAGUAGAGCGACACGUGUCACUCGACGGAAAGCAACCACUUUCCCGCAUCUUUUAAUACAUCUACGAGCCUAUGAUGAUGGGCCUUGCACGUCUUGAAUUGCCAAGUGUCUCCGACAUCUAAUAAAUCAUCAUUCAUAUAAUAAUCGACUUCGAAGAAGAUUGAGUAGGCGUACAUAAGUGAGCUUGAGCCCGUGAAAGAAAAUGUUUGCUGGAGUCCGCUUGAUUUGCGAUAUCACGUUUGAGUGCUCCACUUAUGUAGUGGUAUACAUAUAUAAUUAGUGAAACUUUGCAAACAUCUAUCCCAAAAAAAAAAAAAAAAACAGAUAAAAUAAAAAUUAAUCAUAAAUAGCUUUUACGAGAUAAUUGUUUAGCUUAAAUUAUAUUCAUAAUCAAAGUAAGAUAUCUUAUGAGCUCGAAAAAUAGCAAAUGAAUGCUUCAAUUUCUUGAACUACAUUGGCUCGAAUGCAAGGAAUGAUAACCCAAGCAAUUCAUGAAGUUCGAAGGUCUAGGAUGGACAUGUUCUCUUAUUUUCAUAUUGGCUAUCAAGAAUGCAAACCAAAGAAGACUUUCCUCGCCUUACCACCAUGCCAAAUGCAAGACUAUUGGCAUCCACAUUGUGCGUCUCUAUUUAGAUGGCAACUCCAUGAUUCUACUAAUUAAGGUUGUUGAGCUUAUGGCUUAAGUUCUAGCCAACUUGAAUUUGGAUUGAAGCUCGGAGAUUAAAAUAAGUCGGAGACGUGUUAAAGGCAAUCUAGGCAUGUGGCAAAGCUAUGUAGAGAGGAUCAGGUGCUCGAGUCCCGUCGCGCUACCAGCUGAAUGACAGCACUGGGUAUCGUCCAAGCUCAUGGGCAUGUGGACACCCGAAUAAAUAACAUCGUCAGUAUUUGAUAUUUUGUUUCCUAGGGAAACGAAAACUGCUAAUUGAAUAUGUUCCCCAUUGCAAUGGUUGGAAAUUUGAUUUUUAUGAAGAUGAUGAAUUUUCUUAAUUUGUGUGGAGCAGAUUGAUUCAUCCUCCAUAUAGAAAAUACUAGGGGUGUUAAUCAUAAGUUUUUGAAAGUGAAAUCAAAUCCAACCAAACUAAAAGUGGCAUCAGCUUGGCUUCGAAAGAUACCAUGAAAGAGGUCCAUAGCAUAAAGGAAGAUUCUACAAGGUAAAAAUCUAAAGAGUGUUCUAUGUACGUAAAAUGCAAAUAACAUUGGAAAAUAUCAAAACCGUUUGAUAACAAAAUGCUGAUCAAUAACUUAUUCAGUCAUUAACAUUUUGGUAAGUUACCAAAACUUUUAAGAAAAUACCAAUAGUUAAUAUAUUAUCAUUGACAUUUGAAUCUUCCUGAUGGUUAAAAUUAGAAAAAUUCGAGAUUCAAGAUCCCGAUCGCAGCGAGACUUGUCAAAUAGAUAGAGAAAGCACCGUAAAGAUCAAUUAGUGAGGUUUUGGGCUGAUGCAAUAAGAAUUGCUUACUUACUUAUGUCGUGAUAGAAUAUAGAAGUUAUGAAUCCAUUUGACCUAAAAAUUUUUUAUUAGUAUCACUUUGUUGGUCAAACCAAAGAAUCGACCUUUCCGGAAAUUAUUGUUUCACUAGCCUUAAUCUUUUUCCGACAUUCGAUUUAGCCGCGACCACCCAAAAUCUGUUGGGAGAAUAAAACGUAAUCUUUUCCCAUCUUCGUUUUACGUUCAAGGUGGGAGGUGCCACAAGAUAGAUGGUCCAUGAGCCUCUCCAUCAUUCCCCUCGACGCCAUUAGUUGCCAUAGCCGCUUGCCCUUGUUAUUGCCGAGCCGCCCUUUCCUGCUCUAUCUGUUGCUCCAUUCCAUGCCUUCCCCAUCAUGAAAACCGAAGAGCCCAGAUCUCGUCCGGAGACUCCCUCGCCGGUCGUUGCUUUCUCCAACUUCUCCCUCCAUGUAUACAUGUAUGCAGCAUAGCUUGAGAUAUAUCCUAUUCACAAGUAAGUUAAAUUUCCAACAACGAACUUGAUUAAUCAAAAUGAUGCGAUGAAAUGCCCCUUUGUAAUCAGAAGAAGAUAAAUUAACUUCAAGUAAUACAAAAUGUGCAAAACUUUCCAGACUACACUCUACAUUUUAACAAUACAGAAUGUGAGAAAUCCUUGUAGGGAAUGCUCAAUCUGUACAAGAAGACGAAGAAGAGGAGACAGAAGUAAUAUUACGCUCAAUCAGUACAAGAGAGGAAGAGCGGAGCCAAAAGUAAUAUUACAGCACGAGAGUCACUAACAGAAAUUGAAGGAAAACUAUAUAGAUGCCCGACGGCAUUGAGAUCGUAUUUUGCAGGGGUUAAACCUGCCAACUCCAAGUGGGCAUCAAGCAUUUCUACAUUGGACAUAACUAGUCUAUCUAGCAUAAACAACAUUCCCUCCAAUUCAAGUUCUUUAUCUUCACGAACACUUUGACUGGUGUACUGAAAAGGGCAACAAGAUGGCAAUACAGGAGUAGGGUACACUUCCAGUUGGUCUAGAUGAUUGUCAGUUAUGUUAUGGAAAUCUCCAAAGGCACCAAUGUUGUCUAAAAGUUGAUAGAAAUCUAUUGCGCCUGUAAAUUAAAAUCCCUCCAUUCAACUAGUAUCAGCUUGGGAUUCUUUAUUUCCAACUAUGUCAUCUCCAAAUUUUCCCUCCCAUUACCAUCAUUCACUCUUAAUUUUUGUGUAAAACACCAACUCCUUAGUUAUGUCAUGUUCUCAUUUAGAAUUCCAAGCACUUAACCUCUAUAUUCACCAACUCUCCAUCAAAUGCAAUUUGAACAGGAUUGGCAAUUGAAGUGAUUUAUUUGGGGAAAAGGACCGUAGCACAUUUAACGAAAAGCAAAUGGGGAAUAAGGCCAACGUGCAUGCAGAGUCAGAACUUGCAAUUGGGCAAAGAAAAUGGCACACCUUGUGCCUCUGCCGCAAGUGAUAAAACCUAAGCACAUUCAAAAAUUGAAAGGCAAAAGAAUAAGAUUAUUUACUCUUCCUUCCAAAUACAGUUUAAAAAACCCAGCAAGUGUAUGCUUUGAGAACACUUUUGGUUCCCACCUAUAUGACAUAUGCUUUGAGAACACUUUUGGUUCCCACCUAUAUGACAAAUUGAGUACUAAUUCUAGUCAACAACUGCUUCUUCAGUCUUUAAAAAACAGGACACAGCAACUUUUCAUUGAUAAUUUACUAUGAUCUUUCGAAAGAUAGUUAUGCACUACUGAGCAGGAAAAAGAAUGACCCUAAACCAGCUGCCUUUUCUUAGGUUUUUCAGUAGUUAUUCUAAAGGCACGAUGUGUAUUUGCACUAGUGGUCAUCAGGCAGAGUAGCAAACGAUACAACCAGAUUCCUCGUGGUGAAGUUUGGAAUGAAUUUCCUUAACUCGAGGAAGAGGGAAGAAUGAAUUAUCCAUAGGUAUGAACCAAACGAGUUAAAUUUGAAAUCAAAAACAAUCUGCUCACCUGAAGGCACCAACUACCAAUCAAAAGCUUAGUCGCGUUCUGCAACUUCUGAAGCAGUCCCUCAACCAGGUUGCAAUACCCUCUGUAAGACUCCAACCGAUUUUGAACAAAACAAUCAGUUGGCCUUCCAAAAUCCUCACCUCUCAUAAAAAAGUUCGACUCUGCUUCAAUCAAGGAUUGAGACUUCCGUUACCAGCUGCCUCAUCAUACCAGAAAAUCCUCCCAAACAGCAACAGAGGACUUGAAAUCUCCAAGGGGAAGCCCUCAUCAAGUGCAUACCGAAAGCAGCCAUUGCCCGCAAUUUCCCUCGAAGUUCUCGAACAAACCUUGAUGGUUCGCUUUAAACCGUAGCAACCUUCCAAACUAAGGUUCUCGAGAACAGGGCUGCCAUUCGACAUCUCAUGCAUCACCUCCGAGUCACAGAUGGACAGGGACCUAACAUUAAUCCAAGCGAUACUUCUACUCAACGAGAAGCAACAGAGCCCUGAGUGCAGGUUCACCAACGAAGAGCAUCCAUAAAAGGAGCAGCGGUACUGCAAAAUGGCCGGCCAUCUGUCACAGCCUCUUAGUCGCAUCGACUGAGAGGUCCUCGACACGGCGGUCGACAGCAAAGCGAAGCCACGGACUGAGCUCAGGCGCGCAACGGUCGAGAAAAUCGGCGUCGAUGUGGAACUUCCUCACCUUGGGCGACGCCUAGAGGAUCAAGACGCCGUCCACGGACGGGUAGGCGUUCCGCCAGGGGGAGGAGAAGACGAGGUCCGGGGGCGGCCGUCCAGACGAAUCGCCACCGCUUCGACAAAAACGCACGUGCGGACAAUGCGUGCGAGGUCGAGGAACGAGAAGAUGUGGUGGAUCACCGAG